AUUGAACGCUGGCGGCAGGCUUAACACAUGCAAGUCGAACGGUAGCAGGAGAAAGCUUGCUUUCUUGCUGACGAGUGGCGGACGGGUGAGUAAUGCUUGGGAAUCUGGCUUAUGGAGGGGGAUAACUACGGGAAACUGUAGCUAAUACCGCGUAGAAUCGGAAGAUGAAAGUGCGGGACCGCAAGGCCGCAUGCCAUGAGAUGAGCCCAAGUGGGAUUAGGUAGUUGGUGGGGUAAAGGCCUACCAAGCCUGCGAUCUCUAGCUGGUCUGAGAGGAUGGCCAGCCACACUGGAACUGAGAGACGGUCCAGACUCCUACGGGAGGCAGCAGUGGGGAAUAUUGCGCAAUGGGGGGAACCCUGACGCAGCCAUGCCGCGUGAAUGAAGAAGGCCUUCGGGUUGUAAAGUUCUUUCGGUAUUGAGGAAGGAGUGUAUGUUAAUAGCAUGCAUUAUUGACGUUAAAUACAGAAGAAGCACCGGCUAACUCCGUGCCAGCAGCCGCGGUAAUACGGAGGGUGCGAGCGUUAAUCGGAAUAACUGGGCGUAAAGGGCACGCAGGCGGUUAUUUAAGUGAGGUGUGAAAGCCCCGGGCUUAACCUGGGAAUUGCAUUUCAGACUGGGUAACUAGAGUACUUUAGGGAGGGGUAGAAUUCCACGUGUAGCGGUGAAAUGCGUAGAGAUGUGGAGGAAUACCGAAGGCGAAGGCAGCCCCUUGGGAAUGUACUGACGCUCAUGUGCGAAAGCGUGGGGAGCAAACAGG
RNAcentral lists this ribosomal RNA (759 nucleotides) under uncultured Haemophilus sp. RNAcentral describes it as "bacterial SSU rRNA". It matches the Rfam family "Bacterial small subunit ribosomal RNA", at positions 28 to 776 of the family's 1533-position model. Lineage: Bacteria; Pseudomonadati; Pseudomonadota; Gammaproteobacteria; Pasteurellales; Pasteurellaceae. The record is from RNAcentral.